GACGGGGGAUGCAAGUGUUAUCCGGAAUCACUGGGCGUAAAGCGUCUGUAGGUGGUCUAGCAAGUCAACUGUUAAAUCUUGAGGCUCAACUUCAAAAUCGCAGUCGAAACUGUUAGACUAGAGUAUAGUAGAGGUAAAGGGAAUUUCCAGUGGAGCGGUGAAAUGCGUAGAGAUUGGAAAGAACACCGAUGGCGAAGGCACUUUACUGGGCUAUUACUAACACUCAGAGACGAAAGCUAGGGUAGCAAAU
This 250-nucleotide ribosomal RNA is filed under the name uncultured bacterium. RNAcentral describes it as "partial 16S ribosomal RNA". It matches the Rfam family "Bacterial small subunit ribosomal RNA", at positions 524 to 773 of the family's 1533-position model. The record is from RNAcentral.